GACAACGCUGGCGGCGUGCCUAACACAUGCAAGUCGAGCGGAGUCGAUCGACGGAAGCCUUCGGGCGGAAGAUGGUUGACUUAGCGGCGGAUGGGUGAGUAACGCGUGGGCAACCUGCCUCGAAGACCGGGAUAACAGCCCGAAAGGGCUGCUAAUACCGGAUGUGGUCAAGGAUCCGCAUGGAUUUUGAUUAAAGGGGAAACCCGUUUCGAGAUGGGCCCGCGUCCUAUCAGCUAGUUGGUGAGGUAAAAGCUCACCAAGGCGACGACGGGUAGCCGGCCUGAGAGGGUGACCGGCCACACUGGAACUGAGACACGGUCCAGACUCCUACGGGGGGCAGCAGUGGGGAAUCUUCCACAAUGGGCGAAAGCCUGAUGGAGCGACGCCGCGUGAGCGAAGAAGGCCUUCGGGUUGUAAAGCUCUGUCUGGAGGGACGAAGGAAGUGACGGUACCUCCGGAGGAAGCCACGGCUAACUACGUG
Molecule: ribosomal RNA, 481 nt
Filed under: uncultured bacterium
Lineage: Bacteria
Description: bacterial SSU rRNA
Rfam family: Bacterial small subunit ribosomal RNA
Source: RNAcentral